RNAcentral lists this ribosomal RNA (381 nucleotides) under uncultured bacterium. Its description in RNAcentral is "partial 16S ribosomal RNA". It matches the Rfam family "Bacterial small subunit ribosomal RNA", at positions 338 to 717 of the family's 1533-position model. The record is from RNAcentral.
CCUACGGGAGGCAGCAGUGAGGAAUAUUGGUCAAUGGGCGCGAGCCUGAACCAGCCAAGUCGCGUGAGGGAAGACGGUCCUAUGGAUUGUAAACCGCGUUUGUCGGGGAGCAAAGGACGCCACGCGUGGCGUUCCGAGAGUACCCGAAGAAAAAGCAGCGGCUAACUCCGUGCCAGCAGCCGCGGUAAUACGGAGGAGGCGAGCGUUAUCCGGAUUUAUUGGGGUGAAAGGGGGCGCAGGCGGAAGAUCAAGUCAGCGGGAAAAUUGAGAGGCUCAACCUCUUCGAGCCGUGGAAACUGGUUUUCUUGAGUGAGCGCGCAGUAUGCGGCCUGCGUGGUGUAGCGGUGACAUGCCUAGAUCUCACGCAGAACUCCGAUUGCG